UACGUAGGGUCCAAGCGUUAAUCGGAAUUACUGGGCGUAAAGCGUGAGUAGGCGGUUUCGCAAGUCCGAUGUGAAAUCCCCGGGCUUAACCUGGGAACUGCGGUGGAAACUACGAGGCUAGAGUGCGGCAGAGGGGGGUGGAAUUCCAGGUGUAGCGGUGAAAUGCGCAGAGAUCUGGAGGAACACCGAUGGCGAAGGCAGCCCCCUGGGCUAGCACUGACGCUCAGACACGAAAGCGUGGGGAGCAAACAGG
RNAcentral lists this ribosomal RNA (253 nucleotides) under uncultured bacterium. RNAcentral describes it as "partial 16S ribosomal RNA". It matches the Rfam family "Bacterial small subunit ribosomal RNA", at positions 524 to 776 of the family's 1533-position model. The record is from RNAcentral.